GCCCCCAUGAGUCUCCUCCCCCCAUGAGGCCCCUCCUGGUUCCUGCGCCUCAGCCCCGCCCUUCACUUUCGUUUCUGAGGCCACGCCCCGUAGGACCUGACCAAGCCCGGUACUGAGGCUUCACAAGGCCUCCGCCUGUGCGGCCACUUCCUCUUCCUCCUGCCUCUCCUCUUUUUUGGGGGAGAGGGGCACGCCCUGCCGCUGGCCCACAGACCUCGUGGAUGCCGCAUAGAAUGGCCCGAAGUAAACACGGGGUUCUUUCCCAUAAGGGCCCCGUCCAGGGAUGGGGGUUGAGUCACCUUCUCCCCUGUAGUCUUUGCGGUGAGACCUGUUGGGGGGUGCAGACGCUGAAAAUCCCUUUGGGUUUCUUCCUCCUGGCUCACCGGCCGGACCCAAGUGAUGAGAAGGGGAGUAGGGAGAUGAAUUGUGGAAAGAAAAGAAUGCUGCUGAAUUACUGAGUGCCUAACCGAAGAAAAAUUGGGGAGCAAGAGCAUGACGGGGCACUAAAAUUUUUUGAGGAAGAUUCGUUGUCAGAAAAUAGAAAUGGCUAGAAUCAUCAUCAAAGUGUCAGUCAUUUCAAACUGCCUUUUAAUUACAGUCCUCAGGAUUCCUGGGAGUUUAAAGGAAACAAACGACUCACCUGCUGCAAGUGCUUAGCAUUGUGCUAGAAUAAUUACAGAAGCUAUCUCAAGCUGGGCGUGGUGGUGCACGCCUGUAAUCCCAGCUACUUCGGAGGCUGAGACGGGAGGAUCGCUUGAGCCCAGGAGAGAUCACAACACUGCACUCCAGCCUGGGUGACAGGGUGAGACUCUUCAAAAAAAGGGGCAAGAAUAAUUCAGCAGUAGUUGGUUACAGAGUGAAAAGUACUCCCACUUGAUUUUUAUUUUAUUAUCCUGGACUCGAUUUUAUUAUCAAGUGGGAUUUUUACCUGGGCUUUCAGAAGUUAAGGUAAUUUGCCCAAGGUCACAUGAUUAGUAAAUUAUCAGUUUAGGAUUGAACUCAGGUCACCUGUCUCCCCCAAAGCAUACAGAAUGCAGGUGUGUACAUUUAUCUAAGUGUGUCAAACUGUACAGUUAAAAUGGGUACAUUUAAUGUUACUUAUAACCCAGUUAAGUUGGUUUUUUUCAAUCAUGCAGAAUGAGUGAUGUUAUAAAACUCGUCAAAUAAACCACAUUAUGAUUUCAUACAUGAAAGUA
Molecule: long non-coding RNA, 1196 nt
Organism: Macaca mulatta (Rhesus monkey)
Lineage: Eukaryota; Metazoa; Chordata; Mammalia; Primates; Cercopithecidae
Source: RefSeq, a predicted model, not a curated record